This 497-nucleotide ribosomal RNA is filed under the name uncultured bacterium. Its description in RNAcentral is "partial 16S ribosomal RNA". It matches the Rfam family "Bacterial small subunit ribosomal RNA", at positions 28 to 507 of the family's 1533-position model. The record is from RNAcentral.
GAUGAACGCUGGCGGCGUGCCUAAUACAUGCAAGUCGAGCGAACAGACGAGGAUCUUGCUCCUCUGACGUUAGCGGCGGACGGGUGAGUAACACGUGGAGAACCUACCUAUAAGACUGGGAUAACUUCGGGAAACCGGAGCUAAGACCGGAUAAUAUAUUGAACCGCAUGGUUCAAUAGUGAAAGACGGUUUUGCUGUCACUUAUAGAUGGAUCCGCGCCGCAUUAGCUAGUUGGUAAGGUAACGGCUUACCAAGGCAACGAUGCGUAGCCGACCUGAGAGGGUGAUAGGCCACACUGGAACUGAGACACGGUCCAGACUCCUACGGGAGGAAGCAGUAGGGAAUCUUCCGCAAUGGGCGAAAGCAUGACGGAGCAACGCCGCGUGAGUGAUGAAGGUAUUCGGAUCGUAAAACUGUGUUAUUAGGGAAGAAGAAAUGUGUAAGUAACUAUGCACGUAUUGACGGUACCUAAUCAGAAAGCAACGGCUAACUACGUG